Molecule: unclassified non-coding RNA, 997 nt
Filed under: Hevea brasiliensis (rubber tree)
Lineage: Eukaryota; Viridiplantae; Streptophyta; Magnoliopsida; Malpighiales; Euphorbiaceae
Source: RNAcentral
UGUUGGAAGUGCAUACUAUGUUGCCCCGGAAGUGUUAAAUCGAAACUAUGGGAAGGAGAUAGAUGUAUGGAGUGCUGGAAUCAUUUUGUACAUUCUUCUAAGUGGGGUGCCUCCAUUUUGGGCAGAGAAUGAGAAAGGAAUAUUUGAAGCAAUUUCAAAAUACCAACUUGACUUACAAAGCAAACCAUGGCCUGAAAUUUCAUCUUCUGCGAAGGACCUCAUCAGGAAAAUGUUAGCAAAAGACCCUAGGAAACGGAUCACCGCUGCCCAAGCACUUGAGCAUCCAUGGCUGAAGGAGGAUGGCGAAGCGUCUGCAAGGCCAAUUGAUAGUGCUGUUCUAAAAAGGUUGAAGCAGUUCAGAGCAAUGAACAAGAUGAAGAAACUUGCUCUGAAGGUAAUAGCAGAAAACCUUUCAUCAGAAGAAAUCAAGGGCUUAAAACAGAUGUUCCACAACAUGGACACUGAUGGAAGUGGUACGAUCACAUACGAAGAACUCAAAGUAGGAUUGGCAAGACUAGGAUCCAAGCUUACAGAGGCAGAAAUAAAGCAGUUGAUGGAUGCUGCUGAUGUUGACAACAGCGGGACUAUUGAUUAUGUUGAAUUUAUUACAGCAACAAUGCAUCGCCAUAAACUUGAGAGGGAAGAUCACUUGUUCAAAGCUUUUGAAUACUUUGACAAGGAUAAGAGUGGGUUUAUCACGAGAGAUGAACUACGACAAGCCAUGGCUCAAUAUGGUAUGGGAGAUGAUGCUACUAUAGAUGAAAUCAUUGAAGAUGUUGAUACUAAUAAAGAUGGAAGAAUCAACUAUGAGGAGUUUGCUGCCAUGAUGAGAAAAGGGACACAAGAUAAUGGGGAAAAAUUGAAGUAAAUUUGGCCAAUAAUCCCUCCCUGUACCCGUUUCAAAUAAGUCUGCAGUUUCUAAUGUUAACUAGUUCCUUAACACUGCAGCUCUUGUAAAUAAAUGUUAUUGUUCAAUGUUCAUCACAAUUCCGUGAAC